RNAcentral lists this unclassified non-coding RNA (304 nucleotides) under uncultured fungus. RNAcentral describes it as "sequence contains ITS1". The stretch from base 1 to 105 matches the Rfam family "5.8S ribosomal RNA", at positions 50 to 154 of the family's 154-position model. Lineage: Eukaryota; Fungi. The record is from RNAcentral.
GAAAUGCGAUAAGUAGUGUGAAUUGCAGAAUUCAGUGAAUCAUCGAAUCUUUGAACGCACAUUGCGCCCUUUGGUAUUCCUUAGGGCAUGCCUGUUCGAGCGUCAUUUUAACCCUCAAGCUCAGCUUGGUGAUGGGCGCCCGUCCCGCCCCCUCGGGGGCGCGGACCCGCCUCAAAUGCAUUGGCGGCCGGUUCCUUGGCUUCGAGCGCAGCAGAAACGCGGACUCGGGGCCUCGGGGCCGAUCCCCCAGAAGCUGAACCCCCCUUUUGACCUCGGAUCAGGUAGGGAUACCCGCUGAACUUAA